GUGCGUCUCCGUCUCCGCAGGUCAGCUCCGCCGAAGGCGCCGCCAAGGAAGAGCCCAAGAGGAGAUCGGCGCGGUUGUCAGCUAAACCUCCUGCAAAAGUGGAAGCGAAGCCGAAAAAGGCAGCAGCGAAGUGUAGGUAGAAGUUUAGCACUGCAGUCAUCAGAAGAGGCAAGAUUAAUUUCCUUGACAUUGAGGAGUUGUUGGAUAAUUACUAAAUUUGUCCUUGUUAAAUAAAGAUUCUUCAAACACCUAAAUGAAAGUGAUAAAUUCAAAACUGAUCCUUUUAGUUCCUCAUUAUAUGAUAUGAAGGGAUUAACUGUAGCAGGAUAGUCAACCUGACCGUACGGCAUGGUGCUUUUUUUCAGGAUAAAUCUUCAGACAAAAAAGUGCAAACAAAAGGGAAAAGGGGAGCAAAGGGAAAACAGGCCGAAGUGGCUAACCAAGAAACUAAAGAAGACUUACCUGCGGAAAACGGGGAAACGAAGACUGAGGAGAGUCCAGCCUCUGAUGAAGCAGGAGAGAAAGAAGCCAAGUCUGAUUAAUAACCAUAUACCAUGUCUUAUCAGUGGUCCCUGUCUCCCUUCUUGUACAAUCCAGAGGAAUAUUUUUAUCAACUAUUUUGUAAAUGCAAGUUUUUUAGUAGCUCUAGAAACAUUUUUAAGAAGGAGGGAAUCCCACCUCAUCCCAUUUUUUAAGUGUAAAUGCUUUUUUUUAAGAGGUGAAAUCAUUUGCUGGUUGUUUAUUU
RNAcentral lists this long non-coding RNA (745 nucleotides) under Homo sapiens (human). Its description in RNAcentral is "non-protein coding lnc-HMGN1-1:10". The record is from RNAcentral. Lineage: Eukaryota; Metazoa; Chordata; Mammalia; Primates; Hominidae.